This is a long non-coding RNA of Fukomys damarensis (Damara mole-rat), 2302 nucleotides long. The record is from Ensembl. NCBI's taxonomy places the organism in Eukaryota, Metazoa, Chordata, Mammalia, Rodentia, Bathyergidae.
CAGAACUGUGGAAAGAUUGAAUUCAUGAACCGAGGUGCCCCUGUGUUUUCUAAUUCCUCAUAACAGAAUUUAAAAUUCAUGCCAGUUGCUGGAUUGCUUAGGUUUUAGCUAUGCAUCUCUUUCUUUUCAUUUAAUAUUCAAGUGCUAUUUGUUCAUGAUCCUUAAAAAUAACGAAUGGACUUAUUUUUAUGGACCUCCUUUAAGUAAUCCCCAAAGGCAAACAGAGCUCCAGACUCAAUACACAUUCAGUAAAGCAGAACCACCUUUUCACCAUAACCCUUGCCUCAUAAAGAACCGCACCCAUUUAUUCACAUUUGACAUUCAUUUAUUAAACUAGCCAGAUGCAGUGUAUUGAUUUAUCUUCCCAUAGUUGUAGAAACACAUGACUCAGUCCUUUGAGAGCCUCAUAACUGGUUCUGACUGGACAGCUUUUCUUAGCUGUCCUGUGCUUUAGCACCUUUUGUGAUGCCAGGACUCUGGACGUGCCUGCCCCUCCAGAUUUCAGGGUGCUGCUCUGCCCUGUGGCCCUGCUUCUCUGAUGUGUGAAAGAGAAGUCAUGGAUUUUCUCCGUGUUCCAUUUUUCCAUGCUGUCUGGGUGCCAGUUGGCUGAUUUCUUUCUCCUUGUCGUGAGGCUGCUUCUUGCUUCUUUGCCAAUUCUUGUGGUUUUCUAUUGGAGGCAAGGCCUUGAGGACUCUGCUUCUUUGCCAGCAGCAUUUGUAUUCCUGCAAGCAUUCGUCAGUGUUCCUCUAGGGUCCGGCUCUGUUAUGUGGAGGAAACACCAGUUUGCUGUGAAUAGACCUGAUUAUCAGCACUGCAGAGCCAAGUGUAUCCGCAGAUCGCAGGACUUCCAGUGUGGCUGGUGGAAAGGAGCCCUGUUCCGCCCCGGGUUUGCUACUCAAUGUGCUUGCCAAGGAAUGCAUCUCCUCCUCUGCUGAAGAACUGCCACCCUCAUUAGCUCUAUGGAAGACGGAAACAGAAAUCCACACCGGGCGUCCAACGCAGUGCUCGCCUCCAGACGCCCUCGGUAUGUGCAGCCGAAUGAGAAUCAGAGCUCUCCCCUCACACACUGCUUGCUCAAGAAGCCUGCGUGCACAGAAGCUGUUUAGUAGUGGGUUAAAUCACCCAUUCUUUGCGCAGUCUUGGAAACUCUGUGCAGACACUCACAUUAGGUAAACGGGUUUGCUUCAGUUUUAUUUAUUUUAUUUUAUUUUUUGCUUUUGAUCGUCUUACCUUACUGUGUUACUGUUUAUUUGCUUUCAUAUCCUUUCAUUAGCGUGGGCGCUGCAAUAAUAAUGCUGUGUCAUUCCGGGUGCUGGACAAAUAAUUACCUGAGCUCCAGGAUUGGGACUGAACCUCUGGGCGGCGCAGACAUCUCAGACCGAGGUCACUGUGGCUCGUCUGAGUCUACGGCCCUGCAGGGAUUUGCUGGGCUCUUUAUUACUGAACAGUGGCGAGAAAGAAUAUGACAGUGAGUGGAAAUAAACUGAGAGGAAAACAUUCAUACUGAGAAGUAACUGAUGGAAGGCGAACCUGAAGCUGGCUGGAGAGGCCUGGCUAAUUUGGCAUUUUCUGAGGAGCGUGCAGCUUCUCCGCUGCGCCGUAGCCUUGGCCAGAGCCUGCUGUUCACACAGCACACAUCACACUAUCGACGCCUUCCUUCCCCUGGUGUCCAGCAGAAAUGUUCAAAGAAAAGCUCUCGGAAGCCCGGGAGGACUGCUUGGGUCGGAAAGACAGGUCACACUGCUCCUCCGUGUGCUGAUUUCCCCUAGACCCAGCUUCGGCUUUCCCUUCCGGGUCAGCGGUCUCGCGCUGAGAGCUGAGCGGCUCCUUAAAAUUCAUUUCCGGGGCAUCAGGCCUGGGGCUGUCCAGGGUCUAAGGGGCUGAGUGGAUGAGGCAGGAGCUGUCCUCUGUGAGCUUACAGUUUUGUGGGGCUAGAAAUAAAAGGAGAGGUUGAUAAGAGGCUUUGUGAAUGGGAGAGGUUGUACGGAGCCGCGGGAAGGUACUCAAAGCUUGAGGAGAGCAGCUGAAUUUACCUCCAAACUGGAGGGAGCGAGUGCCUGAGGAGCCAGAUGAGGAAGAAGCAGCGAGAGGUCAAGGGCAAAGUGUCUUGGUAAACACAGGACUCAGUGAUGGAAGUGACGUGCUUCUAUUUUGAAGGGGAUACUGAAAUACAGUGCAAAAUCACACCUAUUGAAAACCUGAAGAAUGAUAUGUAUAGGUUUUACUUUUGUUCUUAUUGUACAGUGAUUGUGGACUCUGAAAGAGUAUUUGGGACAAAGACUCCCGCACAAGUCACCCAGCC